RNAcentral lists this ribosomal RNA (253 nucleotides) under uncultured bacterium. Its description in RNAcentral is "partial 16S ribosomal RNA". It matches the Rfam family "Bacterial small subunit ribosomal RNA", at positions 524 to 776 of the family's 1533-position model. The record is from RNAcentral.
UACAGAGGGGGCAAGCGUUAUUCGGAAUUAUUGGGCGUAAAGGGUGCGUAGGCGGCGCGGUAAGUCGGGUGUGAAAUCUCGGGGCUUAAUUCCGAAACUGCAUUCGAUACUGCCGUGCUUGAGGACUGGAGAGGAGACUGGAAUUUACGGUGUAGCGGUGAAAUGCGUAGAUAUCGUAAGGAAGACCAGUGGCGAAGGCGGGUCUCUGGACAGUUCCUGACGCUGAGGCACGAAGGUCAGGGGAGCAAACGGG